AGCCCCGUAGUAUAUUUAUACACGAGAUUGCAAAUCCCGAGAAGGAGAAUAAGCUUCUCCCGGGGCUU
This 68-nucleotide transfer RNA is filed under the name Aetobatus flagellum (longheaded eagle ray). Its description in RNAcentral is "tRNA-Cys". The record is from RNAcentral. Lineage: Eukaryota; Metazoa; Chordata; Chondrichthyes; Myliobatiformes; Myliobatidae.